This 358-nucleotide ribosomal RNA is filed under the name uncultured bacterium. RNAcentral describes it as "partial 16S ribosomal RNA". It matches the Rfam family "Bacterial small subunit ribosomal RNA", at positions 338 to 710 of the family's 1533-position model. The record is from RNAcentral.
CCUACGGGUGGCAGCAGUGGGGAAUAUUGGGCAAUGGACGCAACUCUGAACCAGCAAUGCAGCGUGAGGGAUGAAGGUCCUAUUGUUGUUAAGCUCUUUUCUUUGGAACGAAUAAAUGCCGGUGCCAGAGGAAUAAUACCCAGCUAACUACGUGCCAGCAGCCGAGGGAAUACGCGGGGGGCCAGUAAUGUUCGGAAUGACAGGGCGUAAAGGGUGUGUUGGGGGUGUGAGAAGUUAGAGGUGUAAUACCCAGGGCUUAACGCGGGUGCUGCAGCUAAAACUGUUAGACUUGAGUACUGGAGAGGAUAGUGGAAUUCGUGGUGUAGCGGUGGAAUGCGUAGAUAUUAGGAGGAACAUC